GGGUUGUGAGGUUAAGCGACUAAGCGUACACGGUGGAUGCCCUGGCAGUCAGAGGCGAUGAAGGACGUGCUAAUCUGCGAAAAGCGUCGGUAAGGUGAUAUGAACCGUUACAGCCGGCGAUGUCCGAAUGGGGAAACCCAGUGCAAUUCGUUGCACUAUCGUUAACUGAAUACAUAGGUUAACGAAGCGAACCGGGGGAACUGAAACAUCUAAGUACCCCGAGGAAAAGAAAUCAACCGAGAUUCCCCCAGUAGCGGCGAGCGAACGGGGAGCAGCCCAGAGUCUGAAUCAGCUUGUGUGUUAGUGGAACGGUCUGGAAAGUCCGACGGUACAGGGUGAUAGUCCCGUACACCAAAAUGCACAGGCUGUGAACUCGAAGAGUAGGGCGGGACACGUGGUAUCCUGUCUGAAUAUGGGGGGACCAUCCUCCAAGGCUAAAUACUCCUGACUGACCGAUAGUGAACCAGUACCGUGAGGGAAAGGCGAAAAGAACCCCGGCGAGGGGAGUGAAAAAGAACCUGAAACCGUGUACGUACAAGCAGUGGGAGCACCUUCGGGUGUGACUGCGUACCUUUUGUAUAAUGGGUCAGCGACUUAUAUUCUGUAGCAAGGUUAACCGUAUAGGGGAGCCGCAGGGAAACCGAGUCUUAACUGGGCGUUAAGUUGCAGGGUAUAGACCCGAAACCCGGUGAUCUAGCCAUGGGCAGGUUGAAGGUUGGGUAACACUAACUGGAGGACCGAACCGACUAAUGUUGAAAAAUUAGCGGAUGACUUGUGGCUGGGGGUGAAAGGCCAAUCAAACCGGGAGAUAGCUGGUUCUCCCCGAAAGCUAUUUAGGUAGCGCCUCGUGAACUCAUCUUCGGGGGUAGAGCACUGUUUCGGCUAGGGGGUCAUCCCGACUUACCAACCCGAUGCAAACUACGAAUACCGAAGAAUGUUAUCACGGGAGACACACGGCGGGUGCUAACGUCCGUCGUGAAGAGGGAAACAACCCAGACCGCCAGCUAAGGUCCCAAAGUCAUGGUUAAGUGGGAAACGAUGUGGGAAGGCACAGACAGCCAGGAUGUUGGCUUAGAAGCAGCCAUCAUUUAAAGAAAGCGUAAUAGCUCACUGGUCGAGUCGGCCUGCGCGGAAGAUGUAACGGGGCUAAACCAUGCACCGAAGCUGCGGCAGCGACACUAUGUGUUGUUGGGUAGGGGAGCGUUCUGUAAGCCUGCGAAGGUGUGCUGUGAGGCAUGCUGGAGGUAUCAGAAGUGCGAAUGCUGACAUAAGUAACGAUAAAGCGGGUGAAAAGCCCGCUCGCCGGAAGACCAAGGGUUCCUGUCCAACGUUAAUCGGGGCAGGGUGAGUCGACCCCUAAGGCGAGGCCGAAAGGCGUAGUCGAUGGGAAACAGGUUAAUAUUCCUGUACUUGGUGUUACUGCGAAGGGGGGACGGAGAAGGCUAUGUUAGCCGGGCGACGGUUGUCCCGGUUUAAGCAUGUAGGCUGGUUAUCCAGGCAAAUCCGGAUAAUCAAGGCUGAGGUGUGAUGACGAGGCACUACGGUGCUGAAGUAACAAAUGCCCUGCUUCCAGGAAAAGCCUCUAAGCAUCAGGUAACAUCAAAUCGUACCCCAAACCGACACAGGUGGUCAGGUAGAGAAUACCAAGGCGCUUGAGAGAACUCGGGUGAAGGAACUAGGCAAAAUGGUGCCGUAACUUCGGGAGAAGGCACGCUGGUGUGUAGGUGAAGUCCCUGCGGAUGGAGCUGAGACCAGUCGAAGAUACCAGCUGGCUGCAACUGUUUAUUAAAAACACAGCACUGUGCAAACACGAAAGUGGACGUAUACGGUGUGACGCCUGCCCGGUGCCGGAAGGUUAAUUGAUGGGGUUAUCCGUAAGGAGAAGCUCUUGAUCGAAGCCCCGGUAAACGGCGGCCGUAACUAUAACGGUCCUAAGGUAGCGAAAUUCCUUGUCGGGUAAGUUCCGACCUGCACGAAUGGCGUAAUGAUGGCCAGGCUGUCUCCACCCGAGACUCAGUGAAAUUGAACUCGCUGUGAAGAUGCAGUGUACCCGCGGCAAGACGGAAAGACCCCGUGAACCUUUACUAUAGCUUGACACUGAACAUUGAGCCUUGAUGUGUAGGAUAGGUGGGAGGCUUUGAAGCGUGGACGCCAGUCUGCGUGGAGCCAACCUUGAAAUACCACCCUUUAAUGUUUGAUGUUCUAACGUUGGCCCCUUACCGGGGUUGCGGACAGUGUCUGGUGGGUAGUUUGACUGGGGCGGUCUCCUCCCAAAGCGUAACGGAGGAGCACGAAGGUUAGCUAAUCCUGGUCGGACAUCAGGAGGUUAGUGCAAUGGCAUAAGCUAGCUUGACUGCGAGCGUGACGGCGCGAGCAGGUGCGAAAGCAGGUCAUAGUGAUCCGGUGGUUCUGAAUGGAAGGGCCAUCGCUCAACGGAUAAAAGGUACUCCGGGGAUAACAGGCUGAUACCGCCCAAGAGUUCAUAUCGACGGCGGUGUUUGGCACCUCGAUGUCGGCUCAUCACAUCCUGGGGCUGAAGUAGGUCCCAAGGGUAUGGCUGUUCGCCAUUUAAAGUGGUACGCGAGCUGGGUUUAGAACGUCGUGAGACAGUUCGGUCCCUAUCUGCCGUGGGCGCUGGAGAAUUGAGGGGGGCUGCUCCUAGUACGAGAGGACCGGAGUGGACGCAUCACUGGUGUUCGGGUUGUCAUGCCAAUGGCACUGCCCGGUAGCUAAAUGCGGAAGAGAUAAGUGCUGAAAGCAUCUAAGCACGAAACUUGCCCCGAGAUGAGUUCUCCCUGAGACUUUAAGUCUCCUGAAGGAACGUUGAAGACGACGACGUUGAUAGGCCGGGUGUGUAAGCGCAGCGAUGCGUUGAGCUAACCGGUACUAAUGAACCGUGAGGCUUAACCUUACAACGCCGAAG
This 2923-nucleotide ribosomal RNA is filed under the name Klebsiella pneumoniae subsp. pneumoniae. Its description in RNAcentral is "bacterial LSU rRNA". It matches the Rfam family "Bacterial large subunit ribosomal RNA". Lineage: Bacteria; Pseudomonadati; Pseudomonadota; Gammaproteobacteria; Enterobacterales; Enterobacteriaceae. The record is from RNAcentral.